CGAACGCUGGCGGCGUGCUUAACACAUGCAAGUCGAACGGAAAGGCCCCGCUUUUGUGGGGUGCUCGAGUGACGAACGGGUGAGUAACACGUGAGUAACCUGCCCCUGACUUUGGGAUAACUUCAGGAAACUGGGGCUAAUACCGGAUAGGAGCUCCUGCUGCAUGGUGGGGGUUGGAAAGUUUCGGCGGUUGGGGAUGGACUCGCGGCUUAUCAGCUUGUUGGUGGGGUAGUGGCUUACCAAGGCUUUGACGGGUAGCCGGCCUGAGAGGGUGACCGGCCACAUUGGGACUGAGAUACGGCCCAGACUCCUACGGGAGGCAGCAGUGGGGAAUAUUGCACAAUGGGCGGAAGCCUGAUGCAGCAACGCCGCGUGCGGGAUGACGGCCUUCGGGUUGUAAACCGCUUUCGCCUGUGACGAAGCGUGAGUGACGGUAAUGGGUAAAGAAGCACCGGCUAACUACGUG
RNAcentral lists this ribosomal RNA (466 nucleotides) under uncultured bacterium. RNAcentral's name for it is "partial 16S ribosomal RNA". It matches the Rfam family "Bacterial small subunit ribosomal RNA", at positions 30 to 507 of the family's 1533-position model. The record is from RNAcentral.